Molecule: ribosomal RNA, 253 nt
Filed under: uncultured bacterium
Lineage: Bacteria
Description: partial 16S ribosomal RNA
Rfam family: Bacterial small subunit ribosomal RNA
Source: RNAcentral
GACAGAGGUGGCAAGCGUUGUUCGGAAUCACUGGGCUUAAAGGGCGCGUAGGUGGUAGUGCAAGUCUGGGGUGGAAUCUUAGGGCUUAACCCUAAAAUUGCCUUGGAAACUGUAUUACUUGAGUCAGUGAGGGGAGGGUAGAAUUCCCGGUGUAGCGGUGAAAUGCGUAGAUAUCGGGAGGAAGGCCUGUGGCGAAGGCGGCCCUCUGGCGCUGAACUGACACUGAGGCGCGAAAGCGUGGGUAGCAAACAGG